GGAGGAUCCGAGCAUUAUCCGGAUUUAUUGGGUUUAAAGGGUGCGUAGGCGGCUUUUUAAGUCAGGGGUGAAAGACGGUAGCUCAACUAUCGCAGUGCCCUUGAUACUGAAGAGCUUGAAUGUACUAGAGGUAGGCGGAAUGUGACAAGUAGCGGUGAAAUGCAUAGAUAUGUCACAGAACACCAAUUGCGAAGGCAGCUUACUAUGGUAUGAUUGACGCUGAGGCACGAAAGCGUGGGGAUCAAACAGGAUUAGAUACCCUGGUAGUCCACGCCCUAAACGAUGAAUACUCGAUGUUAGCGAUAUACAGUUAGCGUCAAAGCGAAAGCGUUAAGUAUUCCACCUGGGGAGUACGCCCGCAAGGGUG
RNAcentral lists this ribosomal RNA (367 nucleotides) under uncultured bacterium. Its description in RNAcentral is "bacterial SSU rRNA". It matches the Rfam family "Bacterial small subunit ribosomal RNA", at positions 527 to 896 of the family's 1533-position model. The record is from RNAcentral.